RNAcentral lists this ribosomal RNA (497 nucleotides) under uncultured bacterium. RNAcentral describes it as "partial 16S ribosomal RNA". It matches the Rfam family "Bacterial small subunit ribosomal RNA", at positions 28 to 507 of the family's 1533-position model. The record is from RNAcentral.
GACGAACGCUGGCGGCGUGCCUAAUACAUGCAAGUUGAGCGAUGAAGAUUGGUGCUUGCACCAAUUUGAAGAGCAGCGAACGGGUGAGUAACGCGUGAGGAAUCUGCCUUUGAGCGGGGGACAACAUUUGGAAACGAAUGCUAAUACCGCAUAACAACUUUAAACAUAAGUUUUAAGUUUGAAAGAUGCAAUUGCAUCACUCAAAGAUGAUCCCGCGUUGUAUUAGCUAGUUGGUGAGGUAAAGGCUCACCAAGGCGAUGAUACAUAGCCGACCUGAGAGGGUGAUCGGCCACAUUGGGACUGAGACACGGCCCAAACUCCUACGGGAGGCAGCAGUAGGGAAUCUUCGGCAAUGGACGAAAGUCUGACCGAGCAACGCCGCGUGAGUGAAGAAGGUUUUCGGAACGUAAAACUCGGUUGGUAGAGAAGAACGUUGGUGAGAGUGGAAAGCUCAUCAAGUGACGGUAACUACCCAGAAAGGGACGGCUAACUACGUG